RNAcentral lists this non-coding RNA (29 nucleotides) under Homo sapiens (human). The record is from RNAcentral. Lineage: Eukaryota; Metazoa; Chordata; Mammalia; Primates; Hominidae.
UGCAACAAAGGGUAAACGCACCUCAUGAG